This 830-nucleotide long non-coding RNA is filed under the name Gouania willdenowi (blunt-snouted clingfish). RNAcentral describes it as "lncRNA (ENSGWIG00000023312.1)". Lineage: Eukaryota; Metazoa; Chordata; Actinopteri; Blenniiformes; Gobiesocidae. The record is from RNAcentral.
GUGUGGGACGAUCAAUCAUUAAGGGGUUAACCUUGGUGGGCGUGUCUUAAGUGUUACCGAAGUGACAUCACACAUUGAUCAGCUGUUUGUGUUCACGUUUAAAGCCGAAACAUCUCCAGUCUUUAAUAUUCCUGUAAAUAUGAGCACUUUUACCUGCGCUGUGGACACAAAUAACAACAUUUUUACUUCUGAAAAUCCAACCAUGGACACACUAUUCCAGUCACCUUCAAUGAAGACUGUCAUCCUUCUCAAUUUCUUAAGGAAUGAGAGUCAAAAGAAGCGACACCAGCCGUACCUUUACGCCCAGGCCUGCACUGACUUUACGAUGGACUGGCCCUCCUGCAGGCCACCUCGGCCUGUGUUUUCAAUGUAUGGACCUUCCAACUCUCAACCAGGUUGUGGUGGUACCUACACCUGGGAGGAAGAAGGCCUUCUGAUGGAUCAACCCAUCACGUCUCCAAGCAUGAGCCAACCUCCUGAAAGCAGAUGGUCUCCAAACCAGCUCAGCUUCAGUUCUACUCAUGACAUUGGUGGUGGACACACGUACAUCUACAGCCCUAUCUCUGAAAUAUCUGGAUUUGUGACUGACUGCUUCCCUGCUUGGAUGUCAGAGAUCGAGGUUCCAGCAGAGAGAGGAACAUCUAUACCUGCAUGUGAGUACACAAACUCCUGAAGCUUAAGUUGCAGCAGCGACAAACUGGAAAAGAAUGUUUAACUCACAACAAAACCUUGAAUCUGUUUUUAUAGGGAAAGUUACAGAAGAUCCUCCAACUCAGAGAACGCUCGACUGGUGAACACUGGCUGCGGGAAUAUUGUGUAUAAUGAUCAUG